RNAcentral lists this ribosomal RNA (1433 nucleotides) under uncultured organism. RNAcentral's name for it is "16S ribosomal RNA". It matches the Rfam family "Bacterial small subunit ribosomal RNA". The record is from RNAcentral.
GGAUGAACGCUAGCUACAGGCUUAACACAUGCAAGUCGAGGGGCAGCAUGGUCUUAGCUUGCUAAGGCCGAUGGCGACCGGCGCACGGGUGAGUAACACGUAUCCAACCUGCCGUCUACUCUUGGACAGCCUUCUGAAAGGAAGAUUAAUACAAGAUGGCAUCAUGAGUCCGCAUGUUCACAUGAUUAAAGGUAUUCCGGUAGACGAUGGGGAUGCGUUCCAUUAGAUAGUAGGCGGGGUAACGGCCCACCUAGUCUUCGAUGGAUAGGGGUUCUGAGAGGAAGGUCCCCCACAUUGGAACUGAGACACGGUCCAAACUCCUACGGGAGGCAGCAGUGAGGAAUAUUGGUCAAUGGGCGAGAGCCUGAACCGGCCAAGUAGCGUGAAGGAUGACUGCCCUAUGGGUUGUAAACUUCUUUUAUAAAGGAAUAAAGUCGGGUAUGGAUACCCGUUUGCAUGUACUUUAUGAAUAAGGAUCGGCUAACUCCGUGCCAGCAGCCGCGGUAAUACGGAGGAUCCGAGCGUUAUCCGGAUUUAUUGGGUUUAAAGGGAGCGUAGAUGGAUGUUUAAGUCAGUUGUGAAAGUUUGCGGCUCAACCGUAAAAUUGCAGUUGAUACUGGAUAUCUUGAGUGCAGUUGAGGCAGGCGGAAUUCGUGGUGUAGCGGUGAAAUGCUUAGAUAUCACGAAGAACUCCGAUUGCGAAGGCAGCCUGCUAAGCUGCAACUGACAUUGAGGCUCGAAAGUGUGGGUAUCAAACAGGAUUAGAUACCCUGGUAGUCCACACGGUAAACGAUGAAUACUCGCUGUUUGCGAUAUACGGCAAGCGGCCAAGCGAAAGCGUUAAGUAUUCCACCUGGGGAGUACGCCGGCAACGGUGAAACUCAAAGGAAUUGACGGGGGCCCGCACAAGCGGAGGAACAUGUGGUUUAAUUCGAUGAUACGCGAGGAACCUUACCCGGGCUUAAAUUGCAGAUGAAUUACGGUGAAAGCCGUAAGCCGCAAGGCAUCUGUGAAGGUGCUGCAUGGUUGUCGUCAGCUCGUGCCGUGAGGUGUCGGCUUAAGUGCCAUAACGAGCGCAACCCUUGUUGUCAGUUACUAACAGGUUCUGCUGAGGACUCUGACAAGACUGCCAUCGUAAGAUGUGAGGAAGGUGGGGAUGACGUCAAAUCAGCACGGCCCUUACGUCCGGGACUACACACGUGUUACAAUGGGGGGUACAGAGGGCCGCUACCACGCGAGUGGAUGCCAAUCCCAAAAACCUCUCUCAGUUCGGACUGGAGUCUGCAACCCGACUCCACGAAGCUGGAUUCGCUAGUAAUCGCGCAUCAGCCACGGCGCGGUGAAUACGUUCCCGGGCCUUGUACACACCGCCCGUCAAGCCAUGGGAGCCGGGGGUACCUGAAGUGCGUAACCGCGAGGAGCGCCCUAGGGUA